Molecule: transfer RNA, 80 nt
Filed under: Metapseudomonas otitidis
Lineage: Bacteria; Pseudomonadati; Pseudomonadota; Gammaproteobacteria; Pseudomonadales; Pseudomonadaceae
Description: Pseudomonas otitidis tRNA-Asp
Source: RNAcentral
GCCGACCUGGUCGACGGCCACGUCACCAUCGCCAUCGGUGAUGGUGACCACGGCGUUGAUCUUGCCGGCGAGGCUGACGC